RNAcentral lists this ribosomal RNA (496 nucleotides) under uncultured bacterium. Its description in RNAcentral is "partial 16S ribosomal RNA". It matches the Rfam family "Bacterial small subunit ribosomal RNA", at positions 28 to 507 of the family's 1533-position model. The record is from RNAcentral.
GAUGAACGCUGGCGGCGUGCCUAAUACAUGCAAGUCGAGCGAACGGACGAGAAGCUUGCUUCUCUGAUGUUAGCGGCGGACGGGUGAGUAACACGUGGAUAACCUACCUAUAAGACUGGGAUAACUUCGGGAAACCGGAGCUAAUACCGGAUGAUAUUUGAACCGCAUGGUUCAAAAGUGAAAGACGGUCUUGCUGUCACUUAUAGAUGGAUCCGCGCUGCAUUAGCUGGUUGGUAAGGUAACGGCUUACCAAGGCAACGAUGCAUAGCCGACCUGAGAGGGUGAUCGGCCACACUGGAACUGAGACACGGUCCAGACUCCUACGGGAGGCAGCAGUAGGGAAUCUUCCGCAAUGGGCGAAAGCCUGACGGAGCAACGCCGCGUGAGUGAUGAAGGUCUUCGGAUCGUAAAACUCUGUUAUUAGGGAAGAACAUAUGUGUAAGUAACUGUGCACAUCUUGACGGUACCUAAUCAGAAAGCCACGGCUAACUACGUG